This 254-nucleotide ribosomal RNA is filed under the name uncultured bacterium. Its description in RNAcentral is "partial 16S ribosomal RNA". It matches the Rfam family "Bacterial small subunit ribosomal RNA", at positions 28 to 285 of the family's 1533-position model. The record is from RNAcentral.
GACGAACGCUGGCGGCGUGCUUAACACAUGCAAGUCGAACGAUGAAGCCUUUCGGGGUGGAUUAGUGGCGAACGGGUGAGUAACACGUGGGUAAUCUGCCCUGCACUCUGGGAUAAGCCCGGGAAACUGGGUCUAAUACCGGAUAUGACUUUCUUACGCAUGUAGGAAGGUGGAAAGUUCCGGCGGUGCAGGAUGAACCCGCGGCCUAUCAGCUUGUUGGUGGGGUAAGUGGCCUACCAAGGCGACGACGGGUA